CCAGUGGUGGUCCAGUGGUAGAAUUCAUGCCUUCCAUGUAGGAAACCCAGGUUUGAUUUCUGGCCAAUGUA
This 71-nucleotide transfer RNA is filed under the name Loxodonta africana (African savanna elephant). It matches the Rfam family "tRNA". Rfam says of the family: Transfer RNA (tRNA) molecules are approximately 80 nucleotides in length. Their secondary structure includes four short double-helical elements and three loops (D, anti-codon, and T loops). Further hydrogen bonds mediate the characteristic L-shaped molecular structure. tRNAs have two regions of fundamental functional importance: the anti-codon, which is responsible for specific mRNA codon recognition, and the 3' end, to which the tRNAs corresponding amino acid is attached (by aminoacyl-tRNA synthetases). tRNAs cope with the degeneracy of the genetic code in two manners: having more than one tRNA (with a specific anti-codon) for a particular amino acid; and 'wobble' base-pairing, i.e. permitting non-standard base-pairing at the 3rd anti-codon position. The record is from Rfam by way of RNAcentral. Lineage: Eukaryota; Metazoa; Chordata; Mammalia; Proboscidea; Elephantidae.